ACCAACCAUCCUUCAGUCCCUUUGCCACUACAGAAUCCCAGAGAAGUAGUACUGGAAAGAAGGAUGGGCCAUGGAAUCUAUUUGGACAACACAUCCUGAAGAAACACAGUUACUGUAAGCAGCAUCAAAGUAUACCUUCCAGGCUUCAUCUCCUUUCACUUCAGGGAUUUUUACACUACCAUUAGAUUUAACUUCAGUCAAAUAAUGGAAUAGGUUCUAAAGGUAUCGCCAUCUUCACCAACGGCCUCAAAGGCAUCCAUGCCUGAGGGGAAACACCAAGUUCGUGCAUAGGCGUGAUUCCUCAACUGGCGCUGAAUCAUACUGAAGAAAACAUCUGGAGAACUUGCCUGAAGCCAUCUAUAUUAGU
Mauremys mutica (yellowpond turtle) is the source of this 367-nucleotide long non-coding RNA. RefSeq lists it as uncharacterized. NCBI's taxonomy places the organism in Eukaryota, Metazoa, Chordata, Testudines, Geoemydidae. The transcript has 3 exons. The record is from RefSeq and is a predicted model, not a curated record.